Molecule: ribosomal RNA, 230 nt
Filed under: uncultured eukaryote
Lineage: Eukaryota
Description: partial 18S ribosomal RNA
Rfam family: Eukaryotic small subunit ribosomal RNA
Source: RNAcentral
GGAAAACUUACCAGGUCCAGACAUAGUGAGGAUUGACAGAUUGAUAGCUCUUUCUUGAUUUUAUGGGUGGUGGUGCAUGGCCGUUCUUAGUUCGUGGAGUGAUUUGUCUGCUUAAUUGCGUUAACGAACGAGACCUUAACCUGCUAAAUAGGAUCACCUAUCUCCGGAUAAGUGACUUUCUUCUUAGAGGGACUUUAUGCGUUUCAGCAUGAGGAAGUUUGAGGCUAAAA